AGUUGAGUUGGAGGAAAACGCUGUACAAAGAAUCAACAAUUUUAAGCAUGCUAAAACUCAACUACUAUCAAUCAAUAAAAGGAAAAUAUAUUAUCGCAUCAACAUUACCGAAUAAUACAUUUUGAAUAAAUUAAAAACCUAAUGUAUAUGUAAGGUGGAAUUGUUUUUGAAAAUCAGUGAAUUCCAUCUCUGGAUACACAUAGUACCUUCCACUUAACUAGCAGGAAGUCAAAAUCUCCAAAGAUCAUGUGCGGUUUCUGUCGUCAGCCAAGUUUGCCAGCUAAAAUGGGUGCCAAGCGAGUGGAGUGACUGAUGGCGUCAGGUGGACAAACAUGUAGCUCCUCCACAUGCACGAACCAGCUCAUCUUGUUAUAGUAGAUGACAAUAUUUAAAUUAUGAUAGCCAUAGAAGGCUGUCACAUGGGAAGCGGCGGAAUUGAAGCAGAUUGAGCAGCCCCAGUCGAAGCGGUUCACAUGAAAAUUAUUCACAAGGAGCCGACGACUCUGGACUCUGCUACGAUUCUUCAAAGAAUCUUAGAGAAUCUUAGGCAACGUGGCCUGGUGGGCUGCGCAAUUAGUCAAUCUCAAAUGAAAUUCAAAUAGAACUCGAAUAAUGAAAAUGACGGAUCGCCAAGCAGCGGGCACAGAAAAGAGCCACAGACAACGCUGGAGAGCUCAUCUCCGAAAGGCACGAUAAAGGCCACGGGAUCGUGGCACAGUCUACCUACGUGAUAAACACACCCACGCCAGCGGGAAAUAUUUGUGGGUAAACAGCAUUUGGGCCCGGGGAUUUUGCUCUAAUUUUUUAUGUGCAGCGAUACCGUUGUGGUGUAUGGUGUAUCACAAUUCUCACAAUUAAAAUUGAGCAAAUAGGCAAACAAGCAAAUAUUUUCACAGAUGAUAAAGUUCAACAGCAACAGCAACAGCAACGGCAGAAGAUAGGGCGCAGAGUGGCAUAAGUAGGUGUUGAAGAACUCGGGAUGCCCUGCGAUGUAUGAUAUAUGGCCAGUGGCCAGUGACCAGUCUUAUCCACAAUGCAACUAGAUGCACUGCUAGAUGCGCCUGCGAAUAUGAACCACUUGACAGACUUCCUCCAAUUCAGCAUACCAAUUUGCUUGGGUUUCGAAAUCGCUGAAUGCUGAAAGUGUAUCGUUUGGGAAAAGAACUGUGUUAAGAAUACUAUAACUCUUUGUGGUAAGCCACGCUAACCGUUUCCCCAGACCCCUACCUUAUCUCCCCCAACCUUGUAUUUGUUCUUUACACUUUAUUGCUGUCGCCGUGGCUUCUCGUUUGCUUAGUCUAAUGUGGCAAUCGCACGAAGAGCAACUCAGCCGUGGAGUAAACCCAGUUAAAACCCAUCUGCCUUGCCAUUUCGGAGCUUCUUGCGCGUGCGUUCUUGGCCCUCCUCCAAUCUACUGAUAAAGAGGGCUCGACAUAGACAGAAAAAUAAGUUGUUUAGAAAGAGCUGACGGAUUUGAGGAAGUGCCCAAAUAAAAGUGGCUAAGCUAGAACAACCGUAUUAUCAGGUCUUGGGAUGUACUGGGUAAAUAGUGGAAAAUGAAGCAUAUUUUUGGCUGAUUUCGCAAUGUGCCGUAAAGUAUGCGUAAGAUGGAUUUACUUUCGAUCGGUUUACAUAAAUGAGUUGCUGAUAAAAGUGGGAUUUGCACCUUAACAAUGAUAUUUUGAAAUAAAGUAAGGAAGUCGUCUGUUUA
This is a long non-coding RNA of Drosophila yakuba, 1711 nucleotides long. RefSeq lists it as uncharacterized. The transcript has 2 exons. The record is from RefSeq and is a predicted model, not a curated record. Lineage: Eukaryota; Metazoa; Arthropoda; Insecta; Diptera; Drosophilidae.